AUUCCUUACAAAUAUGAUUAGUGUCUAUGUGUGUCAUCUGAGCCAUUGCUACAAAUAUGGAAACAAGAUAAGGUGCAUUAAGGGACAAGAGACUCCCCUACCCAUUUCCAGGUUGACUUGGAGCAAUGCUUUUCACUCUACCAGCUAUGAAUAUACCUAGCCCAUGUUUUUCCACCCUCCCCACAAGGAUAUCAUAAGACCUGGCCAAAUGCCUCGUGGGCAU
This 223-nucleotide long non-coding RNA is filed under the name Pan troglodytes (chimpanzee). Its description in RNAcentral is "long non-coding RNA NONPTRT001946". The record is from RNAcentral. Lineage: Eukaryota; Metazoa; Chordata; Mammalia; Primates; Hominidae.